CCGUUAGUUAUUUAAGCAUGCGAGCCACAUGUGGUGGGCUUAUGAUGGCAACCAUAGUGAAUAUUGAACAAGUUGGCAACUCACGAGCCAUCCUCUGUGUCCUUGAUGUCCAUCUUUGUUGAGCACCUUGACUGCAACAGGUAGUGACUUCAGACCAACCCUGACAUUCUCAUCUAUGUAGCCCUUGUAAACAGUCACAAACCCUCCUUCACCAAGAAGGUAGUCAGCACGGAAGCUUUUUGUGAUGGUCUCAAGUUCAAACAAUAAGUCAAUCACAUCGUUGUAUAUGGAGAUGUUCUUGGCAUCUUCAACUUCAAUUUUCCUAGGUGUUGAAGGAUCACUCAUAUCUGAUGAGAUGCGGGUGUGCUUCCUCUCUGCAACAGCAUUCUUGACAGGAUGUUGUAGCAAGUGGAGCUGCUGAACUGAGAAGAUGGCAUUUCAACAACAAAAAAGAAAAAAAUAGUCAAGGUAAAAACGAAUUAAGGUUACCAUAAAUUCUUAUACAUAAGAUAAAAAGCAUGUUUUUUUUUUCUUCAUAUUGAAUUUUCAGCAUUCACGGAGAUGGUUGGAUGAAAGAGAGCUAAUCAUGUUGAAAUACGUUUAGGAAAGCUAUAAUCACAAACUAACAAGAGAACUAUUGGAAACGAGCGUUGGCGAUUCCUAGCAAUUAUAAAAUGGUAUUCUACCUAAAAAUACUGUAAAAAAGUACAUACAUGGGCAAGUUGAUUAGGUCAUGCACAAUGUAGAAAUAAGGAGGGUCUUAAGCCCCUUGAGAAGCAUUUAUACAUUGUGGAGGUGAUCCUUCUAGGAGGCUUUUGGAUGAGCCGUCCUUAUGGCUAAGGACCGGCCACAAGGAUUAAAAAAAAUUAGUUCUCUCUCCGGUUCUGUUGAUUGCCGCCAUGGAAACGAAACAAAGAGGAAGAAGGCCCGGGGAGGGGAAGUAUUGAGCAGUCGAGCAGCUGUGUGGAGUUGUGCUGCAAGCCCUACCGCCGCCGGAUUUCGCCCGCAGGCCCCACCGCCACAACCGGAGAUCUGUCGCCGAAGCCAACCGCGAGCGCCACAGACGCCGUCCGAGAGGGCCGCUGCGGAUCCGCGAGCGCGAGCUCCACCGGCGCCGUACACGAGCGCCUCCUUGGAUCCGCUCCCGUGAAUGCCGCCGCCGCCGCCGCCGCCACCAUCGCGGAUCCGCUCGUGACUUGCCACCUUCGUCGUCCGCGAGCGCUGCGCCGACGCAUCCUCCUCCGAUGAGCGCCUCCACGGCUGUUGGAUCCGCGGGCCACCAGCCGCGAGCACCACCGCCAUCACGGAUCCACGAGCGUGAGCUGCCGGCGGCGUCGUCAUCGGUGGCCGGUGGGUGAGGAGAAGCCGAAAGGAUGGGGAAAUUUUGGGUGGCUGCCGGCUAGAGAGAGAAUAGGGUGGUUGGGAUGGUAAGGUACUUUAUUAAAAUGUGGGGCCCACCUUAGAGCAUCCUCAUCAUUUCAUCUAAAUUUGAACCUCCAUAUUCCUAUUUAUAUUUAGAUGGUCAUCUAAAAAUAUUCCUCCUCCAUAUAUUUACCUACUCCAACAAAUCAUCCAUAUCACAUUAUUCUAUAUUUUACUAAUAUUUUUAACAACCCAGUACCCAUAUAUUUCUAUCAAUCUUUUUUAAGAGCUAUAUAUUUCAAUUUAACUGUAUAGUUACCACUUUGAGAAUACAGUUUUAAUCCUCUGUUUAGAAACACACGAGAGACGAGACACCGCCAGGGAACAGACCUUAUCCUCUGCUAGGAAAAAAAAGAAUGAAAAACAAAACUGCUAGAUAUGCAUCGCUCCUCGUUGAUUCCAACCGAGAGGCGAAAGGCAGACGGUGCGAGCGGAGCGGGUGAUGCGGCGGGACGACAGGGCAGGGCGGCGCGAGUAGAGUCACGAUGGAGCAGCGAUACAGCUUGGCUGGCCCGACGGCGAAGCGAUACGCGGGUGGCGGCGUAGCGCAGGUCGCGGUCGGCGCGGACGGCGGGGCACUGUGAGCGGCGGCGCAGCGCGGGUCGCAGUCUGCGAGGAUGGCGGGGCCUCCACUCCGGCGAUCUUCACCGCCCGAUCCGGUAUGCACAUCCUCUCUCUCUCUCUCUUCCCUGUUGCCCACGAGUCCGGAUGGUGGCGCGAGUCGUGGAAACUGGGCAGUUGAGGGAUGGAGUGAGCAGAGAGAAAUACCAAAUUUGGCUGGACAGGACUCGGUUUAAAGGAUAUCCAAAAGGAGCAUGAUUUUUCACUUCCAUACACUAAACAAAAGAUGGGUGGCCGAGGCCGGAUAGAAGAUCUGCUGGGCAUACUCUUAAUACCCCUUCCUCUCAUAUACUCCAACUUGCAAUAUGCUCAGUGGGACCCACCUCGUGCCCACCAUAAUGCCUACUCCCUCGUUCCAAAAAGACAAAAGACGUAUCUACUGUUUAACCGUCCAUUUUAUAUAAAAUAUAAGUCCGUUUUAUAUAAAAUAUUUUUAUGAUUAGUAUUUUUAUUAUUGUUAUAUGAUAAAACAUGAAUAAUAUUUUAUGUCUGACUUAUUUUUAAAUUUUUUUCAUAUUUUUUUAAAUAAAACAGACGGACAAACUUUUUUUUUAGAGAAAGUUAUUUUUUACCCGGCCUCUAUAUCCAACCGGAUAUAUACUGCCAUUGAAAUAGGGAAUUUAGCCCCGCAAACAACCCAAUCUGAAAUUCGCUCCAUAGGAGAUUUGAACUCAAGAUCUUGGGUACUCAGGUCACUAUAACUCAGGAUGGUCAAACGUUAGAUACGAAAAUUCAGGAAUUGAGUUUUUUUUUUUUUUUACCGAGGGAGUGCUGGUUGUGAUCACAGUUGCAUGCAAUAAAAAAGGGCUCUAAAUUUGCUUAAACAAUGCAGCAAACCGCAAGAAGUGAUUAUGUUUUUCCAACUUGCAGGAUCAUAACUCUAUUUUCUGUUAAACUGAAAGUCGACAGUGCCUCAGUGGAGCAAAGAGCACAGAAAUUGCAGCACUAUUGAGGGAAGUGCCUGUAAAUUGUCCCGAUGAACACGAUGAAGCAGAAAUCCCCAAUGAACCCACCAACCAAGAGAUCAGGGGAACCCAGAAAUAACCACCAAGAUCAAUUUUUUUUUGAUGAAAUUCAGAUCAUCCAACCCGAGAUCCCAUCCCAACAACCAGCAUCCCAAAAAAAAACAAUCACCACCCCGAAUCGGGAAAUCCCCAAAAAUCAAUCCAAUAAAAAGGAGGAAGUGUAGAAUACCUUGGGCGUGCGCCGCGACGACGGCAUUCUCCUCUCGCGUCCCGCAGUUGCCCAUCUAUCUCCUCCUCCUCCUGGUGUUUUUUUAUGGUGGUGGUGAUGGUGGGUCUGUCUCUCUCUCUCUUAUAGUGGAGGAACGCGGCUGCUUUCGGGAGGGAGGGUUGGGCUUCACUCAUGGCACGCAAAACGGAGGACUAUUUAGCGCGUGAUGAAACGGAGUGCUAUUUAGCGUGUGAUUAAUUAAGUAUUAAAUAAUUUUUUUAAAAAAAUAAAUUAAUAUAAUUUUGUAAACAACUUUUGCAUAGAAACUUAAAAAAAAACAUAUUGUUUAGUAGUUUGAAAAGCACGCGAAAAUCAAAAACAUUGCCGAAUACAGCCUAACCGUUAACUGGAGGAGGAGGAGAAGAAAAGGCUGUGCUGCAACAAACUAACAAACUGCAUAACAAACUGUGAUCAUAUGGACUCGCAUGCAUAAUAAACUGUGGUCGGCAUCAUAAGGUCACCACAUGCGGCUCGCAUGCUUAACAAACUGCGGUCACCAUCAUAAGCUCACCAAAUAUGUCUUGCAUGCUUAACAAACUAACAGCAUAAUUAGAUCACUUGAUGACAACACAUAUCAUUUUUCGCUAUAUAUACUAUCGAUUGUAAGUAUAUCUUAAAUAUAUAGUUUAUUUUUUUUAUUUUCACCAAUUUUAAGAUGAUAGAGUGGGCGGAUAUUGGAAAAAUCUAAUCCGCAAUAACACCGCUCUAUAUUUACCCUUGCAUUGGGGUACUGCUCUUUUAGGCGGUGGUGGCGAAUCUCACGUCCACAACUAGAGAAUUGGUGAGUGACGGAGCCCGAGUUACCGCCCAACCUACUCGGAAGUUGGCUCAACAGUUAGGCUGUGUUUAUUUCACGCUAAAAUUGAAAGUUUGGUUGAAAUUAGAAUGAUGUGACGGAAAGGUUGGAAGUUUUUGUGUGUAGAAAAGUUUUGAUGUGAUGAAAAAGUUAAAAGUUUGAAGAAAAACUUUGAAACUAAACAUGGCCUUAGUUAAACUCUAUGAUUUAACCAAAUAAAAAUUUAGUACUACUGUAACCGAACUAGCAUAGCAUAUUUAUUUUAGUUGUCACUGCCUAUAAGGAACACAUAUAUCUGCUUCAACAUUCAGAUAUGCUAUUUUUUCAUAAACUUUUCUACAAUACAAUUGUAUGCAAAUCAAAUUGCAUUUUAGAAACCGUAUCGAUGUAAAAGCGUCACUUGUGAUUGAAGGGAGUGAUUUUAAGUUUUCUACUCCUAUAAAAAGGGAACCAGUAGUUACCUCAUGAUUAAGCAUGUGGGAAUCCAUCUCUCAAGCCGAUCAGACAGAUUGUCAGCGAUUAUUGUAGAUGAAUCAUCCCUAGAUGCAUGCAUAGCUACAUGUCAACAUGUAAUGAGAAGGGUCAUGAUACGUGUGAAGUGAUUGGACGGUAGCGGCUACGUGUACCUCCUUGUGAUGGAUUAGUAGCGACAAGUACGUGAUUAGGCCUGCAAGUGCGUGUCUGCACAUGGUUGUAAGUUUUGAGAGUUCUUGGGAUAUGUUAAUUAGUGAAGUAAUUAACUGAUGUGAUAUCAUAAUUAACUAGUCUGAUCGAUCCACGCCAAAAAGCUCUUCGCUGGAGGCUUUUAGGCCCUCCAAUGUUGUGAGUCAUGAGGUGCAUGCUUAGACCAUUCCCAACCCAAACACACUAUAUAUAGUUUCCAUAAAUUUUACAUCAUAAAAAAACUGUACUAGACACUACUCUUCCAAUGCAAACACCACUAUUUUAUAUUUAAAUUUAAUGCUACUUAUUUCACAUGAUGUCUUGGAUAUUGUGUAGAAACCAUGUCUCAUGCAAGACAUGAUUUUCUUUUCUUUCCUCAUUUAUUCACUUACCAUAUCAUUUUUCAUCCUAGGUGGCAGCUUAUUUGAUGUUAUGGACAUCAUCAUAGUUAUUGGGUUGGAAAUGGCCUUAGCCAUAGAACAAACUAAAGCUGACAUGCAUUUUAUUUUAUUUUUUUUCAGUCGUCAGAUGCGGUCUCAUUGGAUUAUGCAGCAGCUCGAUCUCUUCACCUUGCCCCACAGGAUCGCAUUCGCAUGGCGACACCAUCAAAACACUUGCACAUUUCUUCAUUUUCUCUUUUCAUGUCACGCUCUACCUCAAGUUCAAGUUUCAACUCCACUCCAUAUACAGUUCAGUAUUCCAAAAUUCCAAUUCAUCACAGGGGCAAGCUACAUUCUCAGCUAAUCAGCUUGGAACAUAGUAGAAAAAUUCAUAUGAAAACAGACUGGAUCUCAUCUCUAGCAGUAACCGCAAAGGAUAAAACCUCAACUUUGUACAUCUGGGGCUAGAAAGUGCAUGCCUCCACCAAGAAAAAAAAAUGAAAUGGUGUACCAAACAGAAACAGACACUCGAGUCCAUCAAGUCACGCGUGUUCAUAACACGUAGUACUGUUCUAUUUACCAUAGCUCUGCAGGUCCAUUCACAUGUGAGCAAGAUGGAGUGAUAAACACACAAAAGCUACUAGACAGGUGUCACAGUCCAAAAUCAAAGCCAAGCCAACAUAUAUUGGCAGGCAAAUCAAGUGAUCAGCGGCCAGAAGAAACAGUGUAAGUUGCUUAGAGCGGGUACAGUAAUAGGCUAUAAGCCAGCUAUAAAUAUAUUUUAAAGAGAUAAAAUAGAAGAGAAAAGAACAGCGGGCUACAGAUUUGUAGCCAGCUGCAGCACGGACUCCAAGACACAGUGUGUGUAUGACAGGUGGGACCAUGUAUUAAUAGUAUAGUAAGCAAUUAUUGUAUAAAUCAACUAUUAGAUUGGUUAUAGAUGAAUUAGAGCUAGUAGUGGACUAUACUAUACCAUUGAACUUAGCUCUUACAGGAGAGCAGGCACAGGCUGGCCCGGAGCCUCGUGCCCCGGCUGCUCAUCAGUGUGCUACUGUUUGGAGAUCACAGGUAGCGCAUCCCUUUCCAUGGCGAUUUGCGUGUCCCACACUGAACCAGCAGACUGCGACCAUUUGGCAGCCUGCUACUGCUUGCAACCAUUUUGUCAAUGUCCAGUGAUUCACACAUCAAUGUGUAUCAUAAUAAAGAUCCCAACUGUCACCAACCCAGCCUUGAAAAAACAUCCAGAUUCUAGACAAAGUUGCUGUCACCGACCCACACAAAUAUCAGUUUGAUAAUGUUCAGUACCAGAUCAUAACAGAAGUGUACCAAUAUAUAUGAGAAAAGGACUCAUAAGAUCAAGAUGAUGCCACAUAUAAUUGGCAACUCCGAAAUAAAGCAUCAGGAAUAGUUAAUCAAGCUUAACAUUCAAACUCUACAACAAUCCUGAACAAAAAAUCUACCCAUCUCAAAAUAACACAGCUUGUAUUGGCAGCCACAAAGCCCCAUAUACAGGGAAAUAGGGUCUCCAGUAUCACCCAAGUCAGCACCAUCAUCAAGGUUGCAUCUGAAGUUUCCUAAGCUAUAUCAGCAACAGGAGAUAGUAACCACAAGACUGUAAAAUUGUGGAUCAUCUACCCGCUGCAUUUGUGCCAGAAGGUUGUGAUAUAAACUUCUGGGCAAUAGCAUUAAUGCAAGACCUGUUCCUAAGUUACUCUCCAUUGACAAAGCUUUUACUGUCGUAGUACUCGUUCCGUUUCUGCAAAAGCAACGCCACAGACUAAGGUGGUGUUUAGAUCCAGGGACUUAACUUCCCUGUCUUUAGACACUAAUUUAGAGUAUUAAAUAUAGACUACUUACAAAACUAAUUACAUAAAUAAAAGCUAAUUCACGAGACAAAUUUUUUAAGCCUAAUUAAUCUAUAAUUAGAGAAUGUUUACUGUAGCAUCACAUAGGCUAAUCAUGGAUUAAUUAGGCUCAUUAGAUUCGUCUCGCAAAUUAGUCCAAGAUUAUGGAUGGGUUUUAUUAAUAGUCUACGUUUAAUAUUUAUAAUUAAUUUUUAAACAUCCGAUGUGAUAGGGACUUAAAAGUUUUAGUCCCAUCUAAACAGGGCCUAAGGGAAAGUCUAAUAAGAGAGUAAGCAGCCAUCUAUUAGAUACUUACUCCCUCGGUCCCAUAAAAAAGACAAACCCUGGUUUCCGUGUCCAACGUUUGACCGUCCGUCUUAUUUAAAAAAAUUAUGAAAAAAAAUUAAAAAGACAAGUCACGCAUAAAAUAUUAAUCAUGUUUUAUCAUCUAACAACAAUGAAAAUACGAAUUAUAAAAAGAUUUCAUAUAAGACGGACAGUUAAAGUUGGACACGGAAACCCAGGGUUUGUCUUUUUUUGGCCGGAGGGAGUACAUGUUAUUUCCAUAUCAUUAAAGAUAAUAUAAAAAUUAACCGAGUCAUUAAUUUUUUUCUUAAUGUGGGUCAAGCCUUGGUUCUCUCUCCUAGACUAUCUACCAAUCACAGAUGCUCUUUCCAUGUGGGCCCACCUUAAUUAUCUCUCACCUAAUCUUUUCACCAAUUACAGCAUCCAUCGCCAGCAUGCUGUGUCUAGGCGCCCGUGCGGAGCCGUCGUCAAUUUAGUCGACCGCUUCUCUCUCUCCACUCCCUCUUUCUUCCAGCAAUGCAAAAGGAGCUGACAUAAGUGGCUAAUAGUAGGCAUAUUUUCCCUAUUACACUUGCCCUAAAACUGAACAAAACCAUAGCACAUCAAUGGACCAGAAUAAAUAAAUGCAAACUACCCACCACCACCCGCAUUCUUAUCACAAGUUAAAGCUGCUACUGCAUAUGCAAUUGCAGCCUUGCAGGGACCCUCCCUCUCCGAUGAAAUGAACAAAUCAACUUAAGGUAGUUAACAUUGUUGUCAAGUGCCUUUAAGGUAGUUAAGGUUGUAAAUGGAACUCGUGUAGAUCAGAUCAUCAGGGCCAGGGUCUGUCUAAAACUAGAGAUUCUUUAAUUGCACACAGGAAUCUUAGACAAAUUUCGAAGGAAUCCGGUAAAUUCUUGCGUUUUAAAGGAGUUCAAUUAUACUCUUAUGAAGUGGAUUUCCUUAUGUACUAACUGGGUUCCAAUUUAUGGUUCACUUUUGCUCAGAAUUUAGUCAUGGCACAAGAUCACACCAUGAAUAAACUUUAGCACCAAAAUUGUCACUACGUUUUAGCUCAUGGCCUUUAACUAUCAGGCUUAAAAUACAGUAGUAAUCCAGAGCAAAAGGUUAAGCUGGCCUUGCGAGACAAAAGAAAUAAAAAAGAUGGCCGAGUAAAGAAAUUGCUGGAGUACAGCAGUGACAGUUGAAGAGAACGUGCGAGGGCUCCAAGCCAUGAUCAUUUGCUUACACAUCAUCCAUAUUUUUCUUUCCUACGAUAGAGAUCAUUUUUUCUUACCCUAGGAUAGUGAUCUAUUUUUCUCAGUAGCUAUAUGUGCUUGGAAAUGCAGAGGAGUUGAUUGAACGAGGAACGCCAAAGGCAAGAUUCAUCUGUAUCUUUGUUAAACCUAGUAAUGGAGCCAAUGACAUUGUUGAGUACGGACGUACAACUAAUAGCAUUUUUCGGUGGUUGGCCACUUUUUUAUAGCAUACAUACCAUAGGCAGCACUCGGCAGUGCAACUGUUAGUGGCAGAGCUCAAGUUACAGCCUGAUCUGCUCAGGAGUUGGUUAAACCCCAUAAUUCAAACAAAUAAAAAUUUACGUCAGCCGAACUAGCUAGCAUAGCAUAUGUUAGUUGUCACUACUAUAAGAAAUAAAUAUAUCGUCUUUAACAUUCAGAUAUGCUAUUUUUUCAUAAACUUUUCUACAAUACAAUUGUAUGCAAAUCAAGUUGCAUUUUGGAAACCAUAUCAAUGUAAAAGCGUCACUUGUGAUUUAAGGGAGUGAUUUUAAGCUUUUCUACUCCUAUAAAAAAAAGGAACCAGUAGUUACCUCAUGAUUAAACAUGUGGGCAUCCAUCUUUCAAGCCGAUCAGACAGAUUGCCAGCGAUUAUUGUAGAUAAAUCAUCCCUAGAUGGAUGCAUAGCUAGUUAGCUACAUGUCGACAUAGCUAAUUAACCAGUCUGAUAGAUCCACGCCAAAAAAACUCUUCGCUGGAGGCUUUUAGGCCCUCCAAUUUUGUGAGUUAUGAGGUGCAUGCUUAGCCACAACACAAGCUAAAGCUGACCUGCAUUUUAUUUUAUUUUUGUUCAGUUCAGUUGUGCAUGCAUGCAAAGAGGGAUCCUUUGAUGGCCUGAUCAACUGUAAAAUUGUUUAUAAACAUGGUUAGUAAUAUAGAAAUGACAGAGAUAGAUUCCAUGAGUUGGUACACUAGUGGAGCUUGACAUUGUAGGGAUCAAGGUGGAGCGUAAAUUCAAAGGUGAAAAAGGGAAGAGCAAACCAAGCGAACAUGUGAGGUACAGCCUUAUAGCGGCUGAUAGCAUAUCAAAGUUAAUUAUAGUCGCCGCAAUCGGCAUUGGUCUUGGGUUAAGAUUUCGGGAAGAGGCAUUAUGCACCACUGUCGUCGACUGGUGUAUAAGCGGCUUUUCUAUUGCGUCACUCACCAAUUUUCUGGUUGUGGGCGUGAAGAUUCGCCACCACCGCCUGGAAGAGCAGUACUCCAAUGCAAGGGUGAAAUAGAGCGGUGCUAUCGCGGACAAGAUUUUUCCAAUGUCCGCCAACUCUAUCAUCUUGAAAUUGGUGAAAAUAAAAGAUGAAAUGUGUAUUAAAUAUAUACUUACGAGUCGAUAGUAUAUAUAGCGAACACCGAUAUGCGUCGUCAUCGAGUGAUCUAAUUAUGCCGUUAGUUAUUUAAGCAUGCGAGCCACAUGUGGUGAGCAUAUGAUGGCAACCAUAGGGUGUGUUUGGUUGCCUGCAUGUGUUUUGGCUCGCACCCGCCCAUGCAACUUCGGGUUGUUUGGUUGCCUGUUCGAAGAUCUUAGCCAAGCCCUAAGGAUGCAGGAUUCCCUCCACAGCCAGGCUCUAGAGGAACGCGGGGAAUGAGCUUCGCUCCUCAACCUGGAUGAGCGGAUGCAGGGGCGGGUGCCUCGCGCGAUGCAACGCCUGCAGUCCGCUCACCUCCACUGUCUCAUUUGCUCCUUCCCCAUCCUCUUUCCUCUCCUUCUCAUUGUUUCCCAUCUUCCUCCUCUUCUCGUCGAAGCCACCGUCAUCUUCCAGAGCACUGUCGACUCUCCUCGUUUCUGAGUCGCCGGACUGACCAGAUCUGGCGGCCAUGAGCUCCUAGCACCAUAUCCGGCGGCCUUGACCUAAUGGCAACUCACAAGCCAUUCUCUGUGUCCUUGAUGUCCAUCUUUGGUGAGCACCUUGACUGCAACAGGUAGUGACUUCAGACCAACCCUGACAUUCUCAUCUAUGUAGCCCUUGUAAACAGUCCCAAACCCUCCUUCACCAAGAACGUAGUCAGCACGGAAGUUCUUUGUGAUGGUCUCGAGUUCAAACAAUG
Molecule: long non-coding RNA, 10585 nt
Filed under: Oryza sativa (Asian cultivated rice)
Lineage: Eukaryota; Viridiplantae; Streptophyta; Magnoliopsida; Poales; Poaceae
Description: long non-coding RNA (OSAT_LNC001914)
Rfam family: MIR812 microRNA precursor family (bases 7291-7496)
Source: RNAcentral